RNAcentral lists this transfer RNA (74 nucleotides) under Bacteroidota bacterium. Its description in RNAcentral is "tRNA-Arg". It matches the Rfam family "tRNA". From Rfam's summary of the family: Transfer RNA (tRNA) molecules are approximately 80 nucleotides in length. Their secondary structure includes four short double-helical elements and three loops (D, anti-codon, and T loops). The record is from RNAcentral. Lineage: Bacteria; Pseudomonadati; Bacteroidota.
GCGCCUAUAGUUCAAUUGGAUAGAACGUCGGAUUCCGGUUCCGAAGGUUGAAGGUUCGAAUCCCUCUAGGCGUA